UCCUGGCUCAGGAUGAACGCUAGCGACAGGCCUAACACAUGCAAGUCGAGGGGUAACAGGGGCUUCGGCCCGCUGACGACCGGCGCACGGGUGAGUAACGCGUAUGCAACCUGCCUGUAACAGCCGGGAUAGCUCCCUGAAAGGGGGAAUUAACACCGCAUAAGACCACGCUCUCGCAUGGGGACGGGGUAAAAUAUUUAUAGGUUACAGAUGGGCAUGCGUGACAUUAGUUAGUUGGUGAGGUAACGGCUCACCAAGACUGCGAUGUCUAGGGGUUCUGAGAGGAAGGUCCCCCACACUGGAACUGAGACACGGUCCAGACUCCUACGGGAGGCAGCAGUGGGGAAUAUUGCGCAAUGGGACGAAAGCCUGACGCAGCCACGCCGCGUGUGCGAUGAAGGUCCUCUGGAUUGUAAACCUCUUUUGGCAGGAAACAAACCUGCGCUAUACGCGCAGCUGAGGGUACCUGCAGAAUAAGCACCGGCUAACUCCGUG
This 495-nucleotide ribosomal RNA is filed under the name uncultured bacterium. Its description in RNAcentral is "bacterial SSU rRNA". It matches the Rfam family "Bacterial small subunit ribosomal RNA", at positions 17 to 507 of the family's 1533-position model. The record is from RNAcentral.